UGCAGUCGAACGAUGACUUCUGUGCUUGCACAGAAUGAUUAGUGGCGAACGGGUGAGUAACACGUGAGUAACCUGCCCUUGACUUCGGGAUAAGCCUGGGAAACCGGGUCUAAUACCGGAUACGACCUCCUGGCGCAUGCCAUGGGGGUGGAAAGCUUUAUGCGGUUUUGGAUGGACUCGCGGCCUAUCAGCUUGUUGGCGGGGUAAUGGCCCACCAAGGCGACGACGGGUAGCCGGCCUGAGAGGGUGACCGGCCACACUGGGACUGAGACACGGCCCAGACUCCUACGGGAGGCAGCAGUGGGGAAUAUUGCACAAUGGGCGAAAGCCUGAUGCAGCGACGCCGCGUGAGGGACGAAUGCCUUCGGGUUGUAAACCUCUUUCAGCAGGGAAGAAGCGAAAGUGACGGUACCUGCAGAAGAAGCGCCGGCUAACUACGUGCCAGCAGCCGCGGUAAUACGUAGGGCGCAAGCGUUAUCCGGAAUUAUUGGGCGUAAAGAGCUCGUAGGCGGUUUGUCGCGUCUGCUGUGAAAGCCCGGGGCUCAACCCCGGGUCUGCAGUGGGUACGGGCAGACUAGAGUGCAGUAGGGGAGACUGGAAUUCCUGGUGUAGCGGUGAAAUGCGCAGAUAUCAGGAGGAACACCGAUGGCGAAGGCAGGUCUCUGGGCUGUAACUGACGCUGAGGAGCGAAAGCAUGGGGAGCGAACAGGAUUAGAUACCCUGGUAGUCCAUGCCGUAAACGUUGGGCACUAGGUGUGGGGGACAUUCCACGUUUUCCGCGCCGUAGCUAACGCAUUAAGUGCCCCGCCUGGGGAGUANGGCCGCAAGGCUAAAACUCAAAGGAAUUGACGGGGGCCCGCACAAGCGGCGGAGCAUGCGGAUUAAUUCGAUGCAACGCGAAGAACCUUACCAAGGCUUGACAUGAACCGGUAAGACCUGGNAACAGGUCCCCCACUUGUG
This 960-nucleotide ribosomal RNA is filed under the name Arthrobacter luteolus. RNAcentral's name for it is "bacterial SSU rRNA". It matches the Rfam family "Bacterial small subunit ribosomal RNA", at positions 56 to 1023 of the family's 1533-position model. The record is from RNAcentral. Lineage: Bacteria; Bacillati; Actinomycetota; Actinomycetes; Micrococcales; Micrococcaceae.